RNAcentral lists this long non-coding RNA (1737 nucleotides) under Nicotiana benthamiana. Its description in RNAcentral is "long non-coding RNA (NBEN_LNC011783)". The record is from RNAcentral. Lineage: Eukaryota; Viridiplantae; Streptophyta; Magnoliopsida; Solanales; Solanaceae.
CUCUCAGAAUCUCAACAACAACAGGCAUCUGCCAACUUUGCUGGUAACUUUUCUACACCUGCUCGUUUACAGAAUGUGUCUUAUGGGGUUUGCAUGUUAACUAAAGUUAGUGAUUGCAUUUGGAUUAUAGACUCUGGUGCUUCUGACCACAUGACUUCUAAUAAAAAACUUCUCUUUGAUAUCAAACCUUCGAUUACCCCAUAUUUAGUUACCUUGCCAAGAUUCUAAUAAAGAACUUCUCUUUGAUAUCAAACCUUUGAUUACCCCAUAUUUAGUUACCUUGCCAAAUGGUUAUAAAGUCAAAGUUACUUGUACUGGAUCCAUACAAUUUCUCUGUUUCACUCUACAUAAUGUCCUUUACAUUCCCAGUUUCCAUUAUAAUCUGGUUUCUGUGUCCAAACUUGUCUGUCAGUUAGAUUCUAUUGUUCUAUUUACUAAGUUCUCUUGUUUGAUACAGGCCCCUUCUCUGAAGAGGCCACUGGAAAUUGGUAAACUGGAUGAUGGCCUUUACAAGCUUGUGCAAGCUUCUUCUUCUACUCCUUCUCAAUUUCAUGACCCUUGUAAUUACCAUUCUCCAUUACCUUCUGAUUCUGUUUCCUCUUCCCAUUGUACAUAUCAUUCUGAAUUGAAUAAAAUUGAGAUAUUAUGGCAUAAUAGACUAGGACAUAUACCAUUUGUUAGGAUGAGAGAUAUAUCUCAAAUACCAUGUAAAUUUUCACCCAAACAACCCUUCAUAUGCAUUGUAUGUCCACUAGCAAGGCAAUCCAGAUAGCCUUUUCCUGAUAGCUCUAUUAAAACAACACAUGCUUUCCAACUCAUACAUGUGGACACCUGGGGACCUUAUGCCACUCCUGUAAAUAAUGGCUGUAAAUAUUUCUUGACCAUAGUUGAUGAUUUUACUAGAGCCACUUGGACUCAUUUGAUGGGGUCCAAGAGCAAUGCCUUUUCCCUUAUCAAGUCUUUUGUUUCCAUGAUCAAGACUCAAUUUAAUUCUGUUAUACAAAUUGUCAGAAGCGAUAAUGCUCUUGAACUUGGGUCUAGUGCUUCUGGCAGUACCUUUUUUGCUGAAAAUGGGAUAAUUCACCAAACCUCUUGCUCUCACACACCCCAACAAAAUGGUGUAGUUGAGAGAAAACACAGAUAUCUACUAGAAACUUCAAGAGCCCUCUUGUUUCAAUCCCAUCUGCCUAUUAAAUUCUGGGGUGACUGUGUCCUUACUGCCACUUAUCUUAUAAAUAGAUUAAUUCUUAAUAAUAAGUCACCUUUUGAAUUGCUUUUUGGACAAGUUCCUUCUUAUAGUCACCUUAAAACAUUUGGUUGUCUUUUCUUUGCUUCAGUCCCUAAGCAGAAUAGGGACAACUUUCAGCCAAGAGCUGACCCUUGUAUUUUCCUGGGCUACCCUUUAGGAAAAAAGGGAUACAAACUGUAUAAUCUCAAAACUCAACUUUGUCUCAUUUCCAUGGAUGUAAAAUUUCAUGAAGAUAUAUUUCCUUUUGCCUCUUCAAACACUGCCUCUCCUGUUUCUCUUCCUCUUUCCAACCCCUCUACUGUUUGGCCUAUUCCUGAUGAUGUUCCAUUAUACACCACUUCACCACCUUCUUCUUCUCUUACACCUUCUGUAACUUCCUCUUCUCCUCCUCCUUCUCUCCACCACCUUUCUCCUUCUCCAUCUUCAGAGCCUGUAUUAUCUAUUCCUAGAAGAUCAACUAGGCCUCAUGUUCCUCCUCUUCACCUCCA